GCACUCUGAUCCAGCCAUGCCGCGUGCAGGAAGACUGCCCUAUGGGUUGUAAACUGCUUUUAUAUGGGAAGAAUAAGGCUUACGUGUAGGCUGAUGACGGUACCAUAAGAAUAAGCACCGGCUAACUCCGUGCCAGCAGCCGCGGUAAUACGGAGGGUGCAAGCGUUAUCCGGAAUCAUUGGGUUUAAAGGGUCCGUAGGCGGGCAUAUAAGUCAGUGGUGAAAUGCUGUGGCUCAACCAUAGCACUGCCAUUGAUACUGUAUGUCUUGAAUUAUUGUGAAGUGGUUAGAAUAUGUAGUGUAGCGGUGAAAUGCUUAGAUAUUACAUAGAAUACCGAUUGCGAAGGCAGAUCACUAACAAUAUAUUGACGCUGAUGGACGAAAGCGUAGGUAGCGAACAGGAUUAGAUACCCUGGUAGUCUACGCCGUAAACGAUGGAUACUAGUUGUUUGGCUUUCGAGCUGAGUGACUAAGCGAAAGUGAUAAGUAUCCCACCUGGGGAGUACGUUCGCAAGAAUGAAACUCAAGGAAUUGACGG
Molecule: ribosomal RNA, 537 nt
Filed under: uncultured Dokdonia sp.
Lineage: Bacteria; Pseudomonadati; Bacteroidota; Flavobacteriia; Flavobacteriales; Flavobacteriaceae
Description: bacterial SSU rRNA
Rfam family: Bacterial small subunit ribosomal RNA
Source: RNAcentral